UAUCUAUCAAUAAACCAAUAUAUUUUAUAAUAGACUAUGAUUGUAUGAUUGCAGGGUAUAAAAAAAUAACUAAUUGAAAAUUGAAUAAUAAUUUUUAUUCAAUUAUAUACUAAAAAUAUUUUUAGAAAUGUAAUUAUUACAUUAUUAUAAAAUAUUUUAUGUAUGAUAAAUGUAUGUCAUUAUUUCAGUAACUGUCAUCAUCGAUAAUAAAGUUGGUAUAAAAGCCUAAUAAAUAAAUGCUUUGCUUGCCACAUAUUAUGAAAUUGUUUGAUAAUUAUUAUUUUAUAGGCGUUUUGGACACAACAAUAGUAUUUAGUUUAUUUAUUUAUUUUUAUUUAUUUAUUUUUGUUUAUCAUAACCAUCAUUAUUGGUAAUCGUAUUAUUAUGCAGUAUAAGCAUUUCAUUUUUUUUUUUUUAAAUAAUUUUAUUUUUAUAUUAUUAUAGGUAUAUUUAAAAACAGUGAACGAAUCAGUUGUCCAAAUGGAUGCGGUCGUACAUAUAAAAAUAAGAUAUCUCUGCAAUGUCAUUUGAGAAAUGAGUGUGGUACUCAACCAAAGUUUUUUUGUCCGUUUUGCGAUAAAAAAUGUUAUCAAAAAUCGAAUAUGAAAUCGCACAUUGUUCAAGUGCACAAGACCUUUUGCAAUAUAGAACCAAUUGCGCCAUUACCAUCAUUACGUGGUCGCAGAAAAUUUAAUAACUAAAUUAUCAAACGGUUAAAAUCUCAAAAACACUAUGUUUGAGGAUAUAAAAAAAGAAUAAUUUUUUGUCAACAGAAGACGUAUUCAUUUUCUCCGUACAAAACUGUGUACAGUUGUCAAAAUAUUAGCUGUGGAAGAAUCUAUCAGAACCGUGGUUCUUUGACCAGACAUUUGAAGUUUGAGUGUGGAAAGCAGCCAAAGUACUCAUGUACAAUAUGUGAAAAACGGUGUGCCCUUAAGUCUAAUUUAAAACAGCACAUGAUUGCUGUUCAUAAAACUAUGCCUAGCUCAUGAGAUUAUUUUUUUGUACUGUACUAAUAAUAUUUUCACACGUUCUCAACUAUAACUAGCAUAAUACGCUAAUGUCACUUUUUAAACAUGUACAAUUUUGAAUCAUACAAUAAUGUCUAUUAUAUCUAUUACCAAAUAAUAGUUUAAUACAGAUUUAUAAUUUAUAUGUUUGUGUUUUAAUGUCAAAACCCAAUGUGUAAAUUUGUAUGUUCAUAAUUACUAAAUUUUUAAUCGAAA
Long non-coding RNA from Aphis gossypii (cotton aphid), 1226 nucleotides. RefSeq lists it as uncharacterized. NCBI's taxonomy places the organism in Eukaryota, Metazoa, Arthropoda, Insecta, Hemiptera, Aphididae. The record is from RefSeq and is a predicted model, not a curated record. The transcript is spliced from 2 exons.